GACGAACGCUGGCGGCGUGCUUAACACAUGCAAGUCGAACGGAAAGGCCCUGCUUUUGUGGGGUGCUCGAGUGGCGAACGGGUGAGUAACACGUGAGUAACCUGCCCUUGACUUUGGGAUAACUUCAGGAAACUGGGGCUAAUACCGGAUAGGAGCUCCUGCUGCAUGGUGGGGGUUGGAAAGUUUCGGCGGUUGGGGAUGGACUCGCGGCUUAUCAGCUUGUUGGUGGGGUAGUGGCUUACCAAGGCUUUGACGGGUAGCCGGCCUGAGAGGGUGACCGGCCACAUUGGGACUGAGAUACGGCCCGGACUCCUACGGGAGGCAGCAGUGGGGAAUAUUGCACAAUGGGCGGAAGCCUGAUGCAGCAACGCCGCGUGCGGGAUGACGGCCUUCGGGUUGUAAACCGCUUUCGCCUGUGACGAAGCGUGAGUGACGGUAAUGGGUAAAGAAGCACCGGCUAACUACGUGCCAGCAGCCGCGGUGAUACGUAGGGUGCGAGCGUUGUCCGGAUUUAUUGGGCGUAAAGGGCUCGUAGGUGGUUGAUCGCGUCGGAAGUGUAAUCUUGGGGCUUAACCCUGAGCGUGCUUUCGAUACGGGUUGACUUGAGGAAGGUAGGGGAGAAUGGAAUUCCUGGUGGAGCGGUGGAAUGCGCAGAUAUCAGGAGGAACACCAGUGGCGAAGGCGGUUCUCUGGGCCUUUCCUGACGCUGAGGAGCGAAAGCGUGGGGAGCGAACAGGCUUAGAUACCCUGGUAGUCCACGCUGUAAACGGUGGGUACUAGGUGUGGGGUCCAUUCCACGGGUUCCGUGCCGUAGCUAACGCUUUAAGUACCCCGCCUGGGGAGUACGGCCGCAAGGCUAAAACUCAAAGGAAUUGACGGGGCCCCGCACAAGCGGCGGAGCAUGCGGAUUAAUUCGAUGCAACGCGUAGAACCUUACCUGGGUUUGACAUGGAUCGGGAGUGCUCAGAGAUGGGUGUGCCUCUUUUGGGGUCGGUUCACAGGUGGUGCAUGUCUGUCGUCAGCUCGUGUCGUGAGAUGUUGGGUUAAGUCCCGCAACGAGCGCAACCCUUGUUCACUGUUGCCAGCACGUUAUGGUGGGGACUCAGUGGAGACCGCCGGGGUCAACUCGGAGGAAGGUGGGGAUGACGUCAAGUCAUCAUGCCCCUUAUGUCCAGGGCUUCACGCAUGCUACAAUGGCUGGUACAGAGAGUGGCGAGCCUGUGAGGGUGAGCGAAUCUCGGAAAGCCGGUCUCAGUUCGGAUUGGGGUCUGCAACUCGACCUCAUGAAGUCGGAGUCGCUAGUAAUCGCAGAUCAGCAACGCUGCGGUGAAUAAGUUCCCGGGGCU
RNAcentral lists this ribosomal RNA (1346 nucleotides) under uncultured bacterium. RNAcentral describes it as "partial 16S ribosomal RNA". It matches the Rfam family "Bacterial small subunit ribosomal RNA", at positions 28 to 1381 of the family's 1533-position model. The record is from RNAcentral.